GGCGGUUUGGUGGAGUGGUCUAACACGCCAGACUGUGAGUACCACCAUAUCAAACACUUCUGAAUUACAAUACUAAUCCCUUUCCAGUGAACUACUCAGCUUGAGUGAUCUGGUCCUUUCGAGGGCGCAGGUUCGAACCCUGCAACCGUCG
RNAcentral lists this transfer RNA (151 nucleotides) under Penicillium italicum. It matches the Rfam family "tRNA". Rfam says of the family: Transfer RNA (tRNA) molecules are approximately 80 nucleotides in length. Their secondary structure includes four short double-helical elements and three loops (D, anti-codon, and T loops). Lineage: Eukaryota; Fungi; Ascomycota; Eurotiomycetes; Eurotiales; Aspergillaceae. The record is from Rfam by way of RNAcentral.